This 396-nucleotide ribosomal RNA is filed under the name Opisthokonta sp. RNAcentral's name for it is "partial small subunit ribosomal RNA". It matches the Rfam family "Eukaryotic small subunit ribosomal RNA", at positions 582 to 975 of the family's 1831-position model. The record is from RNAcentral.
AUUCCUUCUCCAGGAGCGUAUAUUAAAGUUGAUGCAGUUAAAAAGCUCGUAGUCUGGGUUUUGUGGGUGGGGUGGUGUGGUGGCGUGAGCUGUCGCAUUGGCCUGUCUGCAGAAAUUUUUUAUUGGGGAUUUGGGGUGGGUGCGCUUGAUUGCGUGGUUGCCUCUGCCCUGUCUUUACUUUGAAAAAAUUAGAGUGUUCAAAGCAGGCAUUUGCCUUGAAUAGAUUAGCAUGGAAUAAUGGAACAGGACCUUGGGGCUGUUUCGUUGGUUUUUAGACCCGAGGUAAUGAGAAAUAGGGACAGUUGGGGGUAUUCGUAUUUAGUUGUCAGAGGUGAAAUUCUUGGAUUUACUACAGACGAACAUCUGCGAAAGCAUCUACCAAGGAUGUUUUCAUUG